AAGCGAGAAGGAGCUAAGUGGUUGAGAACGACACAGGUCCUGCUCUCUCACAUUUUCCGGCGGGAACAGACACACAACAUUUACGUUCCGUUGUGACAGGUGACUUUUGGCCUAAAAAGACUCCUGUAGCCUCCUAGACCUCAUUCCACUAUUGAACUUCUGAAAGAGUGUCUUUUAAACGCGAUCCUCAGAUGAUUCAAACUGCUAAUAUUCCCACCUGAUUGCCACAAAACUACACAAUCCUACUUCUCCGCUUAGUGACUCCACACAGACAGCCGAGAAGACCGAUGGCCAUCUGACUGAGCCCACACAUGAGCUCUAGAAUCCCCACAAGCAGCAGGCCCAAGAACACUGAAAAAUGGAUCGUCCUGUGUUUGUUUUCUUUAGAACUGAAGUUCAAGCUAUAGCGUCCACCAUCACUGGCCCUGGUACCACUGAGGGUGGGAUCAGUGACCUCAGCAGGAGCCAUGCAGGACUCUCUGAAGAACCACUGUAGAUUGAAGGAUUCUGGAUGGAUGUUGCUGAAACGCAAGAAACGAGAGAAGAUAUUCAGGAAUAUCACCAUGAAGAAAGAAUGCAGCAUUGUGCUUUUUCUUACACUCAAAGAAAAGGACGAGUAUAAUAAAACACAAGUACCUCGA
This is a long non-coding RNA of Herpailurus yagouaroundi (jaguarundi), 641 nucleotides long. RefSeq lists it as uncharacterized. NCBI's taxonomy places the organism in Eukaryota, Metazoa, Chordata, Mammalia, Carnivora, Felidae. The record is from RefSeq and is a predicted model, not a curated record. The transcript is spliced from 2 exons.